GAGUGUACACAAGGAGCUGCUCCUGAGUGACGAGCGCGACGGUGAGUAAUGCCUAGGAUCUGCCCCAGUCGAGGGGGAUAACAGUUGGAAACGACUGCUAAUACCGCAUACCGCCUACGGGGGAAAGGAGGGGACCUUCGGGCCUUCCGCGAUUGGAUGAACCUAGGUGGGAUUAGCUAGUUGGUGAGGUAAUGGCUCACCAAGGCGACGAUCCCUAGCUGUUCUGAGAGGAUGAUCAGCCACACUGGGACUGAGACACGGCCCAGACUCUACGGGAGGCAGCAGUGGGGAAUAUUGCACAAUGGGGGAAACCCUGAUGCAGCCAUGCCGCGUGUGUGAAGAAGGCUUCGGGUUGUAAAGCACUUUCAGUAGGGAGGAAAGGUGAUGUGUUAAUAGCACAUUGCUGUGACGUUACCUACAGAAGAAGGACCGGCUAACUCCGUGCCAGCAGCCGCGGUAAUACGGAGGGUCCGAGCGUUAAUCGGAAUUACUGGGCGUAAAGCGUGCGCAGGCGGUUUGUUAAGCCAGAUGUGAAAUCCCCGGGCUCAACCUGGGAAUUGCAUUUGGAACUGGCGAACUAGAGUCUUGUAGAGGGGGGUAGAAUUCCAGGUGUAGCGGUGAAAUGCGUAGAUAUCUGGAGGAAUACCGGUGGCGAAGGCGGCCCCCUGGACAAAGACUGACGCUCAUGCACGAAAGCGUGGG
Molecule: ribosomal RNA, 702 nt
Filed under: Shewanella sp. P29ox-fac
Lineage: Bacteria; Pseudomonadati; Pseudomonadota; Gammaproteobacteria; Alteromonadales; Shewanellaceae
Description: bacterial SSU rRNA
Rfam family: Bacterial small subunit ribosomal RNA
Source: RNAcentral